GUCUAAGUAUAAGCAAUUUAUACAGUGAAACUGCGAAUGGCUCAUUAAAUCAGUUAUCGUUUAUUUGAUAGUACCUUACUACUUGGAUAACCGUGGUAAUUCUAGAGCUAAUACAUGCUUAAAAUCCCGACUGUUUGGAAGGGAUGUAUUUAUUAGAUAAAAAAUCAAUGUCUUCGGACUCUUUGAUGAUUCAUAAUAACUUUUCGAAUCGCAUGGCCUUGUGCUGGCGAUGGUUCAUUCAAAUUUCUGCCCUAUCAACUUUCGAUGGUAGGAUAGUGGCCUACCAUGGUUUCAACGGGUAACGGGGAAUAAGGGUUCGAUUCCGGAGAGGGAGCCUGAGAAACGGCUACCACAUCCAAGGAAGGCAGCAGGCGCGCAAAUUACCCAAUCCCGACACGGGGAGGUAGUGACAAUAAAUAACGAUACAGGGCCCUUUCGGGUCUUGUAAUUGGAAUGAGUACAAUGUAAAUACCUUAACGAGGAACAAUUGGAGGGCAAGUCUGGUGCCAGCAGCCGCGGUAAUUCCAGCUCCAAAAGCGUAUAUUAAAGUUGUUGCAGUUAAAAAGCUCGUAGUUGAACCUUGGGCUUGGUUGGCCGGUCCAUCUUUCUGAUGCGUACUGGACCCAACCGAGCCUUUCCUUCUGGCUAGCCUUUUGGCGAACCAGGACUUUUACUUUGAAAAAAUUAGAGUGUUCAAAGCAGGCCUUUGCUCGAAUAUAUUAGCA
This 725-nucleotide ribosomal RNA is filed under the name Candida tropicalis. RNAcentral's name for it is "SSU rRNA". It matches the Rfam family "Eukaryotic small subunit ribosomal RNA", at positions 57 to 809 of the family's 1831-position model. Lineage: Eukaryota; Fungi; Ascomycota; Pichiomycetes; Serinales; Debaryomycetaceae. The record is from RNAcentral.